This 85-nucleotide transfer RNA is filed under the name Felis catus (domestic cat). It matches the Rfam family "tRNA". Rfam says of the family: Transfer RNA (tRNA) molecules are approximately 80 nucleotides in length. RNAcentral also lists the same sequence under 1 other name. Lineage: Eukaryota; Metazoa; Chordata; Mammalia; Carnivora; Felidae. The record is from Rfam by way of RNAcentral.
GCCUGGAUGGCUCAGUCAGUUAAGCAUCUGACUUCAGCUCAGGUCAUGAUCUCAUGGUUUGUGGGUUCAAGCCCCGUGUCAGGCU